RNAcentral lists this ribosomal RNA (652 nucleotides) under Salmonella enterica subsp. enterica serovar Schwarzengrund. RNAcentral's name for it is "partial 23S ribosomal RNA". It matches the Rfam family "Bacterial large subunit ribosomal RNA", at positions 1 to 1322 of the family's 2925-position model. The record is from RNAcentral. Lineage: Bacteria; Pseudomonadati; Pseudomonadota; Gammaproteobacteria; Enterobacterales; Enterobacteriaceae.
GGGUUGUGAGGUUAAGCGACUAAGCGUACACGGUGGAUGCCCUGGCAGUCAGAGGCGAUGAAGGACGUGCUAAUCUGCGAUAAGCGCCGGUAAGGUGAUAUGAACCGUUAUAACCGGCGAUUUCCGAAUGGGGAAACCCAGUGUGACUCGUCACACUAUCAUUAACUGAAUCCAUAGGUUAAUGAGGCGAACCGGGGGAACUGAAACAUCUAAGUACCCCGAGGAAAAGAAAUCAACCGAGAUUCCCCCAGUAGCGGCGAGCGAACGGGGAUGAGCCCAGAGCCUGAAUCAGCAUGUGUGUUAGUGGAAGCGUCUGGAAAGGCGCGCGAUACAGGGUGACAGCCCCGUACACAAAAGCGCAUAUGCUGUGAGCUCGAUGAGUAGGGCGGGACACGUGGUAUCCUGUCUGAAUAUGGGGGGACCAUCCUCCAAGGCUAAAUACUCCUGACUGACCGAUAGUGAACCAGUACCGUGAGGGAAAGGCGAAAAGAACCCCGGCGAGGGGAGUGAAAAAGAACCUGAAACCGUGUACGUACAAGCAGUGGGAGCCCCACCACUAAGCCAGUGGUGAACUCCACAUACGCAUCCUUUGCUGAGGAUGCGGUUAACGGAGCGAAAGCGACGUUCAACCGCAAAAGAAGCAGAGGGGGCU